CCGGAAGGGUGAUGUGGCUGGGGCUCCGCCGGCCUCACUAUGUCUGCCAUUUUCAAUUUUCAGAGUCUGUUGACUGUAAUCUUGCUGCUUAUAUGUACCUGUGCUUAUAUCCGAUCCUUGGCACCCAGCCUCCUGGACAGAAAUAAAACUGGGUUGUUGGGUAUAUUUUGGAAGUGUGCUAGAAUUGGUGAACGGAAGAGUCCUUAUGUUGCAGUGGGCUGUAUCGUGAUGGCCUUCAGCAUCCUUUUCAUACAGUAGCUUGGAAAAAUGCCAGAAUUCUUCAGUCGCCAUCAGAUUUAAAUAUGACAAAAAGGGACUGAUCUGCCGAAAAUAAUGGAAAGAAUGGUUAACCCUUUUAUCUCUGAACGUUGAAUGAGCUACACUUUCAGCUGCUUUUCUCUUUUUUUGUUAUUGGACCAAUGUUCUAUAUAAAUAAUUAGGAUGUAACAUUUACUACCUAGAGUUGAAAUAUGUCUGUAACAAUCAACCUCAGUACUGUCGCUACAAUAUUACAUUCUGCAUCUGUCAUUCUGUUGUGCCAGAUACCAGUUUUUAGUGAGGUAUCUUUAAGGCACAUAGUAGAAAACAAAAUUGGUGAAUUAUUCAAGUUCCUUUCACUGUGAUUUGGAAACGAUAAAUGUUUAUAGAGUGAGACCUUUUUUUUUGGACUAGCUUUUUGAUUGGGGGGGGUUCAGUUUGUGCUGGUAAGGACUGCAUCCAUGUUUAAUAAUGCUGGCUUUCCCUCUGGCCAUUUUGAGCAUUAACCAGAGUACCUCUGCUCCUAGCAAUAUGGGGUUUACUACAGGUGUUUGAGCUAUUUAAAACAAGCCUCUGUAGUUCUUGAGGAGGAGGACAGAUGUGACUUUAGAGGAAAUGUUAAGACUAUUGAGAAAAUGUUCCUAUUUAACAUAAAAUAAUUCAGAAUACCUGACUGGUGUUAUUAUCUCUGAAACCUCUGGUUAAGUAUGGAUAAAUGUCUUAAGCAAAAAUUUGACCAGCUGUCGUUCUGCAAAUAAGACUACAUGCUUAGAGUAAAAAGAGCUAAACAGAACAAUUACAGAAUGAUAAUCUUGGAUGUGUUUUUCAUUCUUUUUAGUGUUAGGUCUGUACAUUUUAAUUACCCCAAAAUACAAACUGUGUUUUUGUUUUUUUAAUACAUUGCUCUCAAUCUAGUUUAUGUUUUCUAUAUCAACUUGAACUGGAAUCUUGUAUAACUUAGUAAGUGAUGAUAAACAGCUUUCAAAUCUA
RNA transcript from Capra hircus (goat), 1248 nucleotides. It is a transcript of the gene named protein kish-A pseudogene, with no coding region annotated. The transcript has a single exon. The record is from RefSeq and is a predicted model, not a curated record. NCBI's taxonomy places the organism in Eukaryota, Metazoa, Chordata, Mammalia, Artiodactyla, Bovidae.